CCGCCCGCGCCGACACCGAAAGUGCCUCCCUUCCCCCGGCUCAGGGCCGUCUCGGAGCGGCCGGAACUCGAUGCUUCCCCAGGGCGUACGUGCUUACGUGCUUGCGUGCGCGCGCGGCCCUUAACGCGGCCGCCCGGCGCCUCGCCCCGCGUACGCCGCAGGCANGCGGCUCCCGAGGCGGCUGGCAGUGCGCAGGCGCGCCCCCCGUGGGCCGGGCCGUGGAGGGGCGUCCUGGUCCCCGCCCCGCGGGCAGGCUGACUGCGGCCGGCGCGUCCCGGGGUGGUCCGCCCCCGGAGAGUGAGGAUUCCGUGCAGGCUUGUUACAAUACACAGAGAGGAGAGAGANNNNNNNNNNNNNNNNNNNNNNNNNNNNNNNNNNNNNNNNNNNNNNNNNNNNNNCCCCCGCCCCCGCGCUGCCCCAGGCUGGGUUUCUGCAGUAGCUCCCUGUUCAUGCUGGGCCCUGGGCUGGCGGUUCUCUCCACCCCCGCCCUGGUCUCCCCCAGGACAUCCCAUACAGGUCUCUCCUCACCUCUGUGAGGGGUCCCGUCACUCUCAUAUAUGACCUGGCCUUUCAUAUACACUUGUUCUGUUCCUUGGUGCUGUUUCCGCCUGCCAAGCUCCUACUCACUCUCAAGACCCCAGUCCCAUAGCCCCUGCUCUGGAAAGCUGCCUGGAACCACAUGCCACCCCUUCCUGGGACCCUUGCACUUCUUGCGCGCGCGUGGGGGGGGGGCUCUUUGUGUUCCACCCCUGGGGCUGCGAGGAUUUGUGUGUAGACCUGUGUACCCCAGUGGCCUGCUGUAAGGCGUGCUUCUACCUGGGGAGCCAGCCCGCGUGCACGUGUUUGAGCAACUGCAGCAGCUUCUAGGAACAGUACUUCUGAGCACACAGUCCACUAGGUUUUGUUGCUUUGCUGUGAAGAUGCCAGAUGCCACACACCUGCAGCCUUACCACGACCAGGGGAGGAUGAGGAUGGGGCUAUGUUCUCUGGGCUGCCCGGGUCGCCCCCAACACCUGCUGUGUUUGUCUGUAGAUUCUCAUUGAGGGGGUCCAUUGGGGGUCCUUGUCUUGCUCCAGUCAUCCUGAGUACCUGCUCUCUGCAGGCCUCCCAGCCGGUGUCAGGCUGUAGGCGGUGGCUGGGCGCCACCUGCUGGGACAGCGUUGGGGUUGCCGCAGAGCUGGCCAAGGGUCCCUGUGGUGGGAGUGAGCAGCCUCCGGAAGAGAGCCAAUGGCCUACAAGCCUGAGAACCUUGACUCUGGCCUUUGUGAAGUUUGUUGGCUGUAAAUGAGGGAAGGACAACUGUCACCCUUGGGUCACGUUCUUGUAGCUUACUGGUCUUUGGCAGAGGUCAAGUGAGACUGAAAGCUUAUGGUGAACCGAUGUUAGCGGUUGUGUGCUCAANCGCGGCGCACCCCCCCCCCCCCCCCCCCCACACACACACCCUGUGCCCUGGGCUUGGCUUAGUUGAGAGGCCUGAGCAAACCGCCUCAGCUUACGGAGGGGCUCAGCCUCCGUGGUCUCCACACCCAGUGCCACUGUCCCACCCCUCCAGCAGACAUGGGCUGGAAUUCCCGCCCACUGACCCUGUGCUGCCCAGCUAACCCCGGGCCACUCCACUGACCCUGAGCCACCCAGUUU
Molecule: long non-coding RNA, 1638 nt
Organism: Vulpes vulpes (red fox)
Lineage: Eukaryota; Metazoa; Chordata; Mammalia; Carnivora; Canidae
Source: Ensembl